GCCAGACUCCUACGGGAGGCAGCAGUGGGGAAUAUUGCACAAUGGGGGAAACCCUGAUGCAGCGACGCCGCGUGAGUGAAGAAGUAUUUCGGUACGUAAAGCUCUCUCAGCAGGGAAGAAAAUGACGGUACCUGACUAAGAAGCCCCGGCUAACUACGUGCCAGCAGCCGCGGUAAUACGUAGGGGGCAAGCGUUAUCCGGAUUUACUGGGUGUAAAGGGAGCGUAGACGGCAGCGCAAGUCUGGAGUGAAAUCCCAUGGCUUAACCAUGGAACUGCUUUGGAAACUGUGCAGCUGGAGUGCAGGAGAGGUAAGCGGAAUUCCUAGUGUAGCGGUGAAAUGCGUAGAUAUCAGGAGGAACACCGGUGGCGAAGGCGGCCUGCUGGACUGUAACUGACACUGAGGCUCGAAAGCGUGGGGAGCAAACAGGAUUAGAUACCCGAGUA
RNAcentral lists this ribosomal RNA (445 nucleotides) under uncultured bacterium. RNAcentral's name for it is "bacterial SSU rRNA". It matches the Rfam family "Bacterial small subunit ribosomal RNA", at positions 330 to 792 of the family's 1533-position model. The record is from RNAcentral.